GAUGAACGCUGGCGGCGUGCUUAACACAUGCAAGUCGAACGGAAAGGCCGAAGCUUGCUUCGGUACUCGAGUGGCGAACGGGUGAGUAACACGUGGGUGAUCUGCCCUGUACUUCGGGAUAAGCUUGGGAAACUGGGUCUAAUACCGGAUAUGACGAUCUCUUGGAUGGGGUUGUGGAAAGCUUUUGCGGUAUGGGGUGAGCUCGCGGCCUAUCAGCUUGUUGGUGGGGCAAUGGCCUACCAAGGCGUCGACGGGUAGCCGGCCUGAGAGGGUGUACGGCCACAUUGGGACUGAGAUACGGCCCAGACUCCUACGGGAGGCAGCAGUGGGGAAUAUUGCACAAUGGGCGCAAGCCUGAUGCAGCGACGCCGCGUGGGGGAUGACGGCCUUCGGGUUGUAAACUCCUUUCGCAAUCGACGAAGCCUUUUGGUGACGGUAGGUUGAGAAGAAGCACCGGCUAACUACGUG
RNAcentral lists this ribosomal RNA (468 nucleotides) under uncultured bacterium. Its description in RNAcentral is "partial 16S ribosomal RNA". It matches the Rfam family "Bacterial small subunit ribosomal RNA", at positions 28 to 507 of the family's 1533-position model. The record is from RNAcentral.